RNAcentral lists this ribosomal RNA (403 nucleotides) under Enterobacter sp. 44(2012). RNAcentral's name for it is "bacterial SSU rRNA". It matches the Rfam family "Bacterial small subunit ribosomal RNA", at positions 988 to 1394 of the family's 1533-position model. The record is from RNAcentral. Lineage: Bacteria; Pseudomonadati; Pseudomonadota; Gammaproteobacteria; Enterobacterales; Enterobacteriaceae.
CYRKRGAMCUUUCAGAGAUGGAUUGGUGCCUUCGGGAACUCUGAGACAGGUGCUGCAUGGCUGUCGUCAGCUGUGUGKGAAAUGUUGGGUUAAGUCCCGCAACGAGCGCAACCCUUAUCCUUUGUUGCCAGCGGUUAGGCCGGGAACUCAAAGGAGACUGCCAGUGAUAAACUGGAGGAAGGUGGGGAUGACGUCAAGUCAUCAUGGCCCUUACGAGUAGGGCUACACACGUGCUACAAUGGCGCAUACAAAGAGAAGCGACCUCGCGAGAGCAAGCGGACCUCAUAAAGUGCGUCGUAGUCCGGAUUGGAGUCUGCAACUCGACUCCAUGAAGUCGGAAUCGCUAGUAAUCGUAGAUCAGAAUGCUACGGUGAAUACGUUCCCGGGUCUUGUACACACCGAA